Molecule: ribosomal RNA, 132 nt
Filed under: Propithecus coquereli (Coquerel's sifaka)
Lineage: Eukaryota; Metazoa; Chordata; Mammalia; Primates; Indriidae
Source: RNAcentral
GUCUACGGCCACACCACCCUGAAUGCGCCCAAUCUCGUCUGAUCUCGGAAGCUGGGCAGGGUCGGGCCUGGUUAGCACUGGAUGGGAGAAUGUGACAAUAAUGCCACGUCUCCAGAAGGGUUGCUGUGGGGU